This 781-nucleotide long non-coding RNA is filed under the name Homo sapiens (human). RNAcentral describes it as "HSALNT0264506". Lineage: Eukaryota; Metazoa; Chordata; Mammalia; Primates; Hominidae. The record is from RNAcentral.
CUUUUUCCAAACAAACACUGCUCUCAUUUUUGACAUCUGGAUUUUGACAUCAAGAGCUGCCCACAUUCUGAGCUUAGAACUCAUCUUUGAAAAGUUGGCUACUUUUUCUGACACAAGCCAAGAAAAGGGUGAUCCUGCCAUCCUGCAGUGAUGGAGAUUUUGCUCUCAUUGAGUCUGUCUGGAUUAUUUCUGGUUCAUGGACAAUCUGGUUUAUUCCUGUCUUCAUAUCAUCUGGACCUCUUUCCUGGUGCCUAUUUCCCAGGAUACUACCUCCAGUACAAUGUUGAAUAGAAGUGGUGAAAAAAGGAGAAAGAUUCUUAGGAGAACAAAUUCUUUCAUGGGAAGACACACCGUCAGAAAGUUAAGUUUUGACACAAGUACAAAACCUCGGACAGUGUCUUUGAAUAAUAAAGAGAAGAAAGAACAACUCUUCCUGGGGAUGCCUGUCCUAGUGUAAGCAGGUUACACGAGAAGACAAUUGUGUUUGAUGGUACAAGAACCUGAAUUCUGGAACCAGAUAGUCUCUGCUUGAAUUGAGAUUCUGUCACCAACAUGCUAUGUGACCGUGAGCAAAUAAUUUGACUUCCUGUGCCUCAGUUUCUUCCUCUAAAAUGUAGAUAAUGAUGAAUAAUAAUAGCUAUUGGUUGUUGAGUAUAAUAAAUAAUUCAGUGUAUACAAAGGUGUUUGCACAGUGCUUGGAAACACAGGUAAAGCCAUGUAAGGAUGGCUCUUGUAAUAGGAAAGCUAGGCCUUGAAAUGAGAGGUGACAGGUGCCAGGCAC